AGUCGUAACAAGGUCUCCGUUGGUGAACCAGCGGAGGGAUCAUUAUCGAGUUACAGAACUCCCAAACCUUUGUGAACAUACCAUCGUUGCUUCGGCGGGAACUCGCCCCAGGACGCCCGGCGCCCUGGGACCCGCCGGGGGACCCAAACUCUUGUUUCAUUUUGGAUACUCUGAGCAUUAUACAAAUAAGCAAUCAAAACUUUCAGCAACGGAUCUCUUGGCUCUGGCAUCGAUGAAGAACGCAGCGAAAUGCGAUAAGUAAUGUGAAUUGCAGAAUUCAGUGAAUCAUCGAAUCUUUGAACGCACAUUGCGCCCGCCAGCACUCUGGCGGGCAUGCCUGUCCGAGCGUCAUUUCAACCCUCAGGACCCCUUCGGGGGUGCCUGGCGUUGGGGAUCGGCCCGCCUCCGCGCGCGGCCGGCCCCGAAUCCCAGUGGCGGCCCCACAGCGAGCUCCCCUGCGCAGUAGCGAUACCUCGCAGCCGGACGAGCGUGGCGGCCACGCCGUAAAACACCCCACUUCUUCAAGGUUGACCUCGGAUCAGGUAGGAAUACCCGCUGAACUUAAGCAUAUCAAUAA
RNAcentral lists this unclassified non-coding RNA (577 nucleotides) under Hapsidospora chrysogena. Its description in RNAcentral is "Acremonium chrysogenum sequence contains 18S rRNA gene, ITS1, 5.8S rRNA gene, ITS2, 28S rRNA gene". The stretch from base 198 to 351 matches the Rfam family "5.8S ribosomal RNA". Lineage: Eukaryota; Fungi; Ascomycota; Sordariomycetes; Hypocreales; Bionectriaceae. The record is from RNAcentral.